This 1394-nucleotide long non-coding RNA is filed under the name Chrysolophus pictus (golden pheasant). Its description in RNAcentral is "lncRNA (ENSCPIG00010003725.1)". The record is from RNAcentral. Lineage: Eukaryota; Metazoa; Chordata; Aves; Galliformes; Phasianidae.
AUCUGCUUAAGGUUAACAUGAUUGAAAUUUUCCAAAGCAUGAAUAUUUUCUCUGUAGAACAUCAUAGAAUGUCUUCUAAACAGUGUAGCUCUAAUUUGGAAGUGGUGGUUGUACAAGGAACAGGAUAAAAAUGCAAAUGAAAAGUAUAUAAGUCUUAUUGUUUCUUGCAUGUGGCUUUGACAAAUCCGUGCUAGUAUACUGAAGUAUGUUUUGUUUUGCUAUUAAAAAAAAUUGUCACUCCCACCCACCUGCAAAUGUUUGUGUAAGUGAACUACGUUUAGCAAGACUGAAGUGUUUUGUAUGACUUCACUUACAAGAAACACAGUCAGAUUCAGGACAUGAACUAACUACAGUAACUUAGGAUCAUAGAAUCCCCAAGGUUGGAAGAGACUUCCAAGAUCAUCCAGUCCAGCUGCCUGUCUAUCAACAAUAUUUCCCACUAAACCACAUCCCUCAGUACAAUAUGAAAUGUUUUUUGAGCACCUAACUUGGUUUGUUUUGAAGUUUAGAAGAUUAACUCGUCUGUAUUGCUGGAGCAUUCUCUGUGACUGAUGGAACAGUGAAGAUAAUGUGGAAAGGAAAAGAGACCAGAUGUUGAAUAAAUACAAUUGCAUUCUGUUGCUGUUAUUUUCCUCUGCAGAUCAAUAAGAUGACCAGAUUCUUUACUCUUAAAAUUCUUAAGCAGUAAAGAGUAAAUGUAUGAUACCAGGCUCACUUCUCUAUUUUGUUUUGUCUUUAAUGCUCAGGAUUGUGUUGAAGGUUCAGUUUCUGCUACAAAACAGAGAACAGGCUCCAUUGGAGAUCGCCCAGCAAGACCGACUCUUUUAGAACAAGUAUUGAAUAAAAAGAGACUGUCCCUGCUCAGAAGUCCAGAAGUAGUGCAGUUUCUACAGAAACAACAGCAGCUGUUAAGUCAGCAGGCUUUGGAACAACGGCAGCAGCAGUUUCAAGGAGCACCCGGGUAAUGAGAACAGAUCAUGACCUGCAGAUGAGUCUGGUUCUGAAGGAGGAAUAGGAUGUAUAUUUUCUUCAAAUAUAAAAAAUGUAAAUGUUUAAAGGAGAAGUAAAGCUGCUGUCAUGUAUUUUACUUGGUUCUUGUUUGCACUUUGACGUUUUGAGCUGCUUGGGUGUCUGCGAACUUGUGAGCAAAUCUGGAAUAUUUUUUGAUUCUUUUUAAAACUUAGUUUGAUUUUUCUUUUUAAUGGAAAUCUGUUUAUGUCAGUAAUGUUUAGCUGUACACCCUUUUCCUACCAAAGUCUUCCACUAGAUUAACAUUUUUCUAUAUGAAGAUUUACUGUUAAACAAGUCACUCUUUGAUGACAAUCAUUGAAGGAAGUCAGUUACUUUCUAUGGAAGUUGUGAAAUAAAGUCCAAUUUGAGCCAGUCCUGUGGCA